This 253-nucleotide ribosomal RNA is filed under the name uncultured bacterium. RNAcentral describes it as "partial 16S ribosomal RNA". It matches the Rfam family "Bacterial small subunit ribosomal RNA", at positions 524 to 776 of the family's 1533-position model. The record is from RNAcentral.
UACGUAGGGUGCAAGCGUUAAUCGGAAUUACUGGGCGUAAAGCGUGCGCAGGCGGUUAUGCAAGACAGAUGUGAAAUGCCCGGGCUUAACCUGGGAACUGCAUUUGUGACUGCAUGGCUAGAGUUUGGCAGAGGGGGGUAGAAUUCCACGUGUAGCAGUGAAAUGCGUAGAUAUGUGGAGGAACACCGAUGGCGAAGGCAGCCCCCUGGGUCAAGACUGACGCUCAUGCACGAAAGCGUGGGGAGCAAACAGG